RNAcentral lists this long non-coding RNA (1908 nucleotides) under Dicentrarchus labrax (European seabass). Its description in RNAcentral is "lncRNA (ENSDLAG00005032414.1)". Lineage: Eukaryota; Metazoa; Chordata; Actinopteri; Moronidae. The record is from RNAcentral.
AUGGUAGUCAGAGCAGGUGUUGUCGUUGUAGGAGCAUGGGUUAUGGUUGUAGGAGCAGGGGUUGUGGUAGUUGGAGCCGGGGUUGUGGUAGUUGGAGCCGGGGUUGUUGUAGUGGGAGCCGGUGUUGUUGUUGUCGGAGCUGCAGUUGUUGUAGUGGGAGCCGGUGUUGUCGUGGUUGGGGCAGGUGUUGUUGUGGUCGGCGCCGGGGUUGUUGUAGUAGGAGCAGGGGUUGUCGUAGUUGGAGCCGGGGUUGUUGUAGUUGGAGCAGGGGUUGUUGUAGUGGGAACCGGUGUUGUUGUGGUCGGGGCAGGUGUUGUAGUUGUAGGAGCAGGGGUUGUGGUAGUUGGAGCAGGAGUUGUCGUUGUCGGAGCAGGGGUUGUCGUAGUCGGAGCUGAUGUUGUUGUAGUUGGAGCAGGUGUUGUGGUAGUCAGAGCAGGUGUUGUCGUUGUUGGAGCUGGGGUUGUCGUUGUUGGAGCUGGGGUUGUCGUUGUUGGAGCAGGGGUUGUCGUUGUAGGAGCAGGAGUGGUCGUAGUCAGAGCCUGUGUUGUUGUAGGAGCAGGAGUUGUCGUAGUCAGAGCUGGUGUUGUCGUAGUUGGAGCUGGGGUUGUCGUUGUUGGAGCAGGGGUUGUCGUUGUUGGAGCAGGGGUUGUCGUAGUGGGAGCAGGAGUGGUCGUAGUGGGAACAGGAGUGGUUGUAGUGGGAGCCUGUGUUGUCGUAGUCGGAGCCUGUGUUGUCGUAGUCGGAGCCUGUGUUGUCGUAGUCGGAGCCUGUGUUGUCGUAGUCGGAGCCGGUGUUGUCGUAGUCGGAGCAGGAGUUGUCGUAGUCGGAGCAGGUGUUGUGGUUGUAGGAGCAGGGGUUGUGGUUGUAGGAGCAGGGGUUGUGGUUGUAGGAGCAGGGGUUGUGGUAGUUGGAGCCGGGGUUGUUGUAGUUGGAGCCGGGGUUGUUGUAGUGGGAGCCAGUGUUGUUGUUGUCGGAGCUGGAGUUGUUGUUGUCGGAGCUGGAGUUGUUGUAGUGGGAGCCGAUGUUGUCGUGGUUGGGGCAGGUGUUGUUGUGGUCGGCACCAGGGUUGUCGUAGUAGGAGCAGGGGUUGUCGUAGUUGGAGCUGGGGUUGUUGUAGUUGGAGCCGGGGUUGUUGUAGUUGGAGCAGGGGUUUUUGUAGUGGGAGCCGGUGUUGUUGUGGUCGGGGCAGGUGUUGUAGUUGUAGGAGCAGGAGUGGUCGUAGUCGGAGCCUCUGUUGUCGUAGGAGCAGGAGUUGUCGUAGUCGGAGCUGGUGUUGUCGUAGUCGGAGCAGUUGUUGUCGUUGUAGGAGCAGGGGUUGUGGUAGUCGGAGCAGGGGUUGUCGUAGUCAGAGCUGAUGUUGCUGUAGUUGGAGCAGGUGUUGUCGUUGUCGGAGCUGGGGUUGUCGUUGUUGGAGCUGGGGUUGUCGUUGUCGGAGCAGGGGUUGUCGUUGUCGGAGCAGGAGUGGUCGUAGUAGGAGCAGGAGUGGUCGUAGUCGGAGCCGGUGUUGUCGUAGUUGGAGCAGGAGUUGUUGUGGUUGUAGGAGCAGUGGUUGUGGUAGUUGGAGCCGGGGUUGUUGUAGUGGGAGCCGGUGUUGUUGUUGUCGGAGCUGGAGUUGUUGUUGUGGGAGCAGGAGUUGUCGUGGUUGGGGCAGGCGUUGUCGUGGUUGGCGCAGGUGUUGUUGUUGUUGGAGGAGGGGUUGUCGUAGUUGGAGCCGGUGUUGUUGUUGUAGGAGUAGGAGUUGUCGUAGUUGUUUUUUGGGUUUUGUGUGGGGCGGUGUUGUGUGGGACCGGUGUUGUCGGUGGAGCAGGGGUUGUCGUAGUUGGAGCAGGAGUUGUUGUAGUUGCAGCAGGUGUUGUGGUUGUAGGAGCAGGGGUUGUGGUCGUAGGAGCAGGGGUUGUCGUAGUUUGA